Molecule: ribosomal RNA, 253 nt
Filed under: uncultured bacterium
Lineage: Bacteria
Description: partial 16S ribosomal RNA
Rfam family: Bacterial small subunit ribosomal RNA
Source: RNAcentral
UACGGAGGGGGCAAGCGUUAUUCGGAAUCAUUGGGCGUAAAGGGCGCGUAGGCGGCUUGGCAAGUCAAAGGUGAAAUCCCUCGGCCCAACCGAGGAACUGCCUUUGAUACUGCCUCGCUUGAGGCCGGGAGAGGGUAGCGGAAUUCCCAGUGUAGCGGUGAAAUGCGUAGAUAUUGGGAGGAACACCAGUGGCGAAGGCGGCUACCUGGACCGGUUCUGACGCUGAUGCGCGAAAGCGUGGGGAGCAAACAGG